GCAGUUGCAAGCGUUGGGGGACAGCUGGUGCGCCCCGAUUAAACCGAUUCAUUUUGCCCGGCGCGGCAGGGCACCGAAGGGCCUCUGGCUGGUGACUGGCACUCUGCGGGGCGCCCGGAACCAAUUUCCGGAGGGUGAUGGAUUUCUUCUCCUUGGCUGCUCUCAAGCUGCGCUUCCUUCUGUGGCGGGGAGCAAAGCACUUUCAGAAGAGCCCGUCUCCUGGGACUGACCCCCGGGGAGGGGGCUUCGGAAGGAAACAUCCGGGCCAGGCCCACCUGUGAGUGACGGCAGGUGGAAGAAAUGAACACAUCCCUCCCCUCCGGACCCCGCCGGCCGGAACCAGGGGAUGUUGGACGUGGCUCCCUCCCCUCUUAAUAUAAAAGACGCCUGACCUCUAACGCAGAUCAAUUGGUCACGUCUCCCUCAGAGGCCUUCCUGGACCAGUUGGGCGGCGGGAGCAUCUUCUGACCUUGAGAAGCGGGCUGAGGGACUAGAGCCUGUCUGGGCUGAUCCCAGGAGAGGCGCAACAGCUGGCGCCUGACUGCCUGCACCUGCUGGGGGGUGGGGGCGGGUGGACGCUGGAGACGGAUCUGGGGACACUUAAUGGGGUAGAGAGCACUCCACAGCCUUUUAAGGGGAGGAGGUGACAGGGCUGAUGGAAGUGAUUUCCAAUCUGAACAAGGCCAGACGUGACCACCGUUUGGAGGUGGCAGCCCGCAAACCCAGCACGGAGGGUCCGAAGUGAACGCGAAUCCCCCUAAAACCAAGUCCCUCUGCGGAGUUUAUGAUUCCAACACCUGUUCCCCUCAACACGGAGGCGCAUCAAAGAAAAGGGGGCGUGGAAACCAAGCAGGACCAAGCCUUUCUGUGUCCCCCGUUCCUGGAUUGCGGGGACAAGGCUUCAGCCUCCAAGACCUUCCCUGAGUUCCAAAGAGCAGAUUCAAACCAUUAGUAAUUAGGCCAGGAAGGGGAUGCUGAAGCGAUGGAGGAGCCCCCAAGAAACAAUAAAGCAGCAUUAAAGCA
RNAcentral lists this long non-coding RNA (1023 nucleotides) under Sus scrofa (pig). RNAcentral's name for it is "lncRNA (ENSSSCG00045034626.1, ENSSSCG00055007902.1)". The record is from RNAcentral. Lineage: Eukaryota; Metazoa; Chordata; Mammalia; Artiodactyla; Suidae.